RNAcentral lists this ribosomal RNA (492 nucleotides) under uncultured bacterium. RNAcentral's name for it is "partial 16S ribosomal RNA". It matches the Rfam family "Bacterial small subunit ribosomal RNA", at positions 29 to 507 of the family's 1533-position model. The record is from RNAcentral.
AGUGAACGCUGGCGGUAGGCCUAACACAUGCAAGUCGAACGGCAGCACAGUAAGAGCUUGCUCUUACGGGUGGCGGGUGGCGGACGGGUGAGGAAUACAUCGGAAUCUACAUUUUCGUGGGGGAUAAUGUAGGGAAACUUACGAUCGUACCGCAUACGACCUAGGGGUGAAAGCAUGGGAUAUUCGGAGCUUGCGGGAUUGAAUGAGCGGAUGAUGGAUUAGCUAGUUGGCGGGGUAAAGGCCCACGAAGGCGACGAUCCGUAGCUGGUCUGGGUGGACGAUCGGCGACACGGGAACUUAGACACGGUCCAGACUCCUACGGGAGGCAGCAGUGUGGAAUAGUGGACAAUGGGCGCAAGCCUGAUCCAGCCAUACCGCGUGGGUGAAGAAGGCCUUCGGGUUGUAAUGCCCGUUUGUUGGGAAAGAAAAGCAGCAGGUUAAUACCCCGCUGUUCUGACGGUACCCAAAGAAUAAGCACCGGCUAACUUCGUG